GGCUACUCCAAGCACGCGUCCACCACGUCCUGCUGCCAGUACGACCUCUGCAACGGCGCUGGCCUCACGGCGCCCGCGACCCUGGCCCUGGCCCUCAUACUCCUGGCCACCCUCUGGGGUCUCCUCUAAAGCCCUGUCCCGCCUCCGCAGACUGUCCAGCACAAAGCUCUGAGCAGCACGGACCCCACCCUCUGCCCUCCCAGACCCCCCAGCCACACCCAGGACUGUCUGCAAGAGAACCCGACCUCCCCUGGCCACCCUGGGGUCAGCUUCCAGGUCACGACCUGUUACUUCCAAAAGGCUCUUGUGGGACCACGCCUCCUGAGGCAUCUGUCCACGGAUGGGGUGCAGGCAGAGUGUGCUGUCGGGGAGGCUUCGGUCGGCCCAGACCACUGAUUCGAAGGCGCCCUCUGCCGCGUCUGCCCUGAAGCUGUGCUGGAGGGGGAGGCGAGAUGAGGGACCCAGGGGUGGCGGACAGGGGGGUGCGCACCCCUCGCCCCCUCCUGAGGAGUGACCAUUGUCCCGCCGCCUGCAGCAGGCCCCUGUGCUCUGGCCUGCGGGCCCCGCCGGCAUCCUGAACAAGCGGUGGUGCACCGGCCUUGGCCUCCAGGUCUGCUCCAUCCGGAGGGUUGCCAAGGGCCCUGCAAGCUCCACCUCAGGGAGGGGGUCUCAGGAGCCCCCAUGCCAGCUGGGCAUUGGGAUCCCCAGGGACCCAGGCAUGGGCAUUAUUUAAGGGGCACCCACCCAUGGUGAGGCUGGGGAGGCACAGGUGUGUCCAGGGAGCCCAACCCUCCUUCUUGUGAGACCGGACAUGACACGCAGCCACUUUUCUGGGGUCACGCAGCACCAGAGGCCUCCUCACCUGACCAGUGCCCCAGUUCCAGUGUUCACAGAGGAGCCCAAGUGGGUGAAACGGUGGCAGGUGCCCAUGUGGGGGGUGGUUCUAGAACUUAGAAGCCCUGGGCCCCGAAGGGUGGCCCCUGUCAGGGGGACCUGUGCUGGAAGUUCCCUCCUGAGAGCUUCCCCCAGGACUGUCAGGCCCCCAGGGAUGGGGACGCUCUGGCAGCCCGGGUCGGGGUCCUUAGGGGCUGGCAGCGUGCUCAGCCCAGACAGCAGGCCUGGUGUCCCGUCCCCCUGAGGCCGGCCAGGUGUGAGUCCCUCCUCAGGGGAAGCUGGGAGGAAGGCAGACCCCACCCCUGGCCCUCAGGAGAGAGUCCCCUUGGAGCUGGCUGCAGGGCCAGUGCAGAUGCAGGUGCCAGCGGGAGGGCGGGCAGCCUGCCCUCCUGACUCAGUGGGCGGGGCCUGGGAAGCGGUCACCACCCUGCUUGUGCAAGCACUCCGUCCUGGUCGUCCGUCCCUCCCUCUGGUCCCAGUGGGCGAUGGCGCUGAGCCCUGCCUGGCCACCUGUGGGCUGUGGGGUCACUAAGAGCAGGGAUCCAGUGGGAGCUGCAGGUGCACAGUGUUGGGCGGGGUGCUUCUCACACCUGCCUCCUGCAUCUGUCCAUCCAUCCUACACCCUGACCUGGUCCCCCCCAGCACCGGGGACCAUGCUGCCCACCCCACCCCCCUAGAGCAGGUUCUGCCAGGCCAGGCUGUCCCUGCGUCCUGCACAGAGCACAUGAAGGUGCUCGGCUCAGGCCGGGCCAGGCCUCCCAGUGGGAGGUGUGCUGCACUGUCAGGGGACUUGGCUGCAGCACCCCUGGCAAUCAGAGUCAGUUUGUACCUACUGUCUGUCAGUGCGGUUCCCCCUACGACAGCCCUGCAAGGUAGGAGCUGUCAUCAAGCCCCUUUCACAGAUGAGGAAACAGAGGCACAGAGGGGGCGGGGUAGCCCAAGGUGGGCUGGACUCCUUGUCCGCUGCCCCGCUGUGCAGUCCCUUCUCCCGUCAGCUACAGGAGGGAGGGGAGGCUGGGAAGGUGGGUUUAUAAGUUUAAGAGAACUUUAGCAUGUUAAAUAUAAUACCUUAGGGUCAGAAAAGCUCAGGAGGUUUGGGAAGCCAUGAAGGCCAGACUCAGGGUGUCCAGCCGAGUGCCAGGCCGGGGGUGGCAUAGCAGAGAGGGGACAGAGGGGCGCCAGGUGCCCCAUCUGCAUCAGGACCAAGGAUCGUGGUAGGGAGAGGCCCAGGUUCCUCCCGGGAGCCGGCCUCUGUGUCUCGGGAGUGGCAGCUCAACCCUGACGGCCCCUCCUGUGGAGCCUUGUAUUCUGCGUUGGCCUGGAAUCAGCCAAGAGGCUGGCACCACAGCAUCGAGCUGGGGUCAGGGUCGGGUCUGGCCGUCACGAGGAAGGUGUGGUGCGCCGGCUGCUGGUGCCCUGGUGCCACAGGGCGGGGAGGGGCACAGCCCCGCCCACCUCCCUUUGCCGUGCGAGUCCACGUCCGAUGGGUGGUGAUGAGUGUGUAUUUUCUUCCUGAUUCUAAACUUCGGAAAAAGUGAAAA
Molecule: long non-coding RNA, 2435 nt
Filed under: Sus scrofa (pig)
Lineage: Eukaryota; Metazoa; Chordata; Mammalia; Artiodactyla; Suidae
Description: lncRNA (ENSSSCG00040059027.1)
Source: RNAcentral